RNAcentral lists this ribosomal RNA (460 nucleotides) under uncultured bacterium. RNAcentral describes it as "partial 16S ribosomal RNA". It matches the Rfam family "Bacterial small subunit ribosomal RNA", at positions 338 to 795 of the family's 1533-position model. The record is from RNAcentral.
CCUACGGGCGACAGCAGUGAGGAAUAUUGGUCAAUGGGCGUAAGCCUGAACCAGCCAAGUCGCGUGAGGGAUGAAGGUUCUAUGGAUCGUAAACCUCUUUUAUAAGGGAAUAAAGUGUGGGACGUGUCCUGUUUUGUAUGUACCUUAUGAAUAAGGAUCGGCUAACUCCGUGCCAGCAGCCGCGGUACUACGGAGGAUCCGAGCGUUAUCCGGAUUUAUUGGGUUUAAAGGGUGCGUAGGCGGCCUUUUAAGUCAGCGGUGAAAGUCUGUGGCUCAACCAUAGAAUUGCCGUUGAAACUGGGAGGCUUGAGUAUGUUUGAGGCAGGCGGAAUGCGUGGUGUAGCGGUGAAAUGCUUAGAUAUCACGCAGAACCCCGAUUGCGAAGGCAGCCUGCCAAGCCAUGACUGACGCUGAUGCACGAAAGCGUGGGGAUCAAACAGGAUUAGAUACCCGGGUAGUC